UCUCUUUGUAGUAAAAAUAUGCUUAGUCUUUUGAAAGUAUUUUUUAGCUUUUCUUACUUCAUAAUAGAGUAAUUUCUCUUUGUUGGGAUAGUUGAUAAAGCUUGAUAUAAUUAUAAUACUAUCUCAGUUUUAAUACAUUCUUAGCCGGAAACUCUAUUUACAUUUCAUAUAGAGAUGGAAUGGUAAUUUUUUAAUCAUUAUUAUCACAUCUACAUAUUUU
This 220-nucleotide long non-coding RNA is filed under the name Nicotiana benthamiana. RNAcentral describes it as "long non-coding RNA (NBEN_LNC041750)". Lineage: Eukaryota; Viridiplantae; Streptophyta; Magnoliopsida; Solanales; Solanaceae. The record is from RNAcentral.